GAUGAAGAACGUAGCGAAAUGCGAUAAGUAGUGUGAAUUGCAGAAUUCAGUGAAUCAUCGAAUCUUUGAACGCACAUUGCGCCCCAUGGCAUUCCGUGGGGCAUACCUGUUCGAGCGUCAUUUCAACCUUCGGGCGGUCCUUUGGUCCGUCUGGAUUUGGGUGUCGUCUAAUGGCGUGUCUUAAAAGAAUUGGCGGUGUAGGUGCCGGCUUCGAGCGUAGCAGAUGCGAUUCGCUUUGGAAGCUGGCGUGCUCACCUUGCCAGAAAAGUCUCUGAAGAGCUGACCUCGGAUCAGGUAGGGAUACCCGCUGAACUUAAGCAUAUCAAUAAGCGGAGGA
Molecule: unclassified non-coding RNA, 337 nt
Filed under: soil metagenome
Description: partial contains 5.8S ribosomal RNA, internal transcribed spacer 2, and large subunit ribosomal RNA
Rfam family: 5.8S ribosomal RNA (bases 1-120)
Source: RNAcentral